AUUGAACGCUGGCGGCAUGCUUUACACAUGCAAGUCGAACGGCAGCGCGGGCUUCGGCCUGGCGGCGAGUGGCGAACGGGUGAGUAAUACAUCGGAACGUGCCCAGUAGUGGGGGAUAGCUCGGCGAAAGCCGGAUUAAUACUGCAUACGACCUGCGGGUGAAAGCGGGGGAUCUUCGGACCUCGCGCUCUUGGAGCGGCCGAUGGCAGAUUAGCUAGUUGGUGGGGUAAAGGCCUACCAAGGCGACGAUCUGUAGCUGGUCUGAGAGGACGACCAGCCACACUGGAACUGAGACACGGCCCAGACUCCUACGGGAGGCAGCAGUGGGGAAUGUUGGACAAUGGGCGAAAGCCUGAUCCAGCAGUGCCGCGUGUGUGAUGAAGGCCUUCGGGUUGUAAAGCACUUUUGGCGGGAACGAAAAGGACUGUGCCAAUACCACGGUUCGAUGACGGUACCCGCAGAAUAAGCACCGGCUAACUACGUG
This 484-nucleotide ribosomal RNA is filed under the name uncultured bacterium. Its description in RNAcentral is "partial 16S ribosomal RNA". It matches the Rfam family "Bacterial small subunit ribosomal RNA", at positions 29 to 507 of the family's 1533-position model. The record is from RNAcentral.